RNAcentral lists this ribosomal RNA (462 nucleotides) under Streptococcus mitis. Its description in RNAcentral is "bacterial SSU rRNA". It matches the Rfam family "Bacterial small subunit ribosomal RNA", at positions 28 to 474 of the family's 1533-position model. The record is from RNAcentral. Lineage: Bacteria; Bacillati; Bacillota; Bacilli; Lactobacillales; Streptococcaceae.
GACGAACGCGGGCGGCGUGCCUAAUACAUGCAAGUAGAACGCUGAAGGAGGAGCUUGCUCUUCUGGAUGAGUUGCGAACGGGUGAGUAACGCGUAGGUAACCUGCCUGGUAGCGGGGGAUAACUAUUGGAAACGAUAGCUAAUACCGCAUAAGAGUAGAUGUUGCAUGACAUUUGCUUAAAAGGUGCAAUUGCAUCACUACCAGAUGGACCUGCGUUGUAUUAGCUAGUUGGUGAGGUAACGGCUCACCAAGGCAACGAUACAUAGCCGACCUGAGAGGGUGAUCGGCCACACUGGGACUGAGACACGGCCCAGACUCCUACGGGAGGCAGCAGUAGGGAAUCUUCGGCAAUGGACGGAAGUCUGACCGAGCAACGCCGCGUGAGUGAAGAAGGUUUUCGGAUCGUAAAGCUCUGUUGUAAGAGAAGAACGAGUGUGAGAGUGGAAAGUUCACACUGUGACG